UACGUAGGGGGCAAGCGUUGUCCGGAAUCAUUGGGCGUAAAGAGCGUGUAGGCGGCCUGGUAAGUCCGCUGUGAAAGUCCAGGGCUCAACCCUGGAAUGCCGGUGGAAACUGUCAGGCUCGAGUCCGGAAGAGGCGAGUGGAAUUCCUGGUGUAGCGGUGAAAUGCGCAGAUAUCAGGAGGAACACCAAUGGCGAAGGCAGCUCGCUGGGACGGUACUGACGCUGAGACGCGAAAGCCAGGGGAGCGAACGGG
Molecule: ribosomal RNA, 253 nt
Filed under: uncultured bacterium
Lineage: Bacteria
Description: partial 16S ribosomal RNA
Rfam family: Bacterial small subunit ribosomal RNA
Source: RNAcentral